CGCCUACGGGGCGCAGCAGUGAGGAAUAUUGGUCAAUGGGAGGAAUCCUGAACCAGCCAUGCCGCGUGCAGGACGACGGCUCUACGAGUUGUAAACUGCUUUUGUACCGGGGUAAAAUGCCUUACGAGUAGGGUUUUGAAAGUACGGUACGAAUAAGGAUCGGCUAACUCCGUGCCAGCAGCCGCGGUAAUACGGAGGAUCCGAGCGUUAUCCGGAUUCAUUGGGUUUAAAGGGUGCGUAGACGGGACAGCAAGUUAGUUGUGAAAGCCCUCGGCUUAACUGAGGAACUGCAACUAAAACUAUUG
This 305-nucleotide ribosomal RNA is filed under the name uncultured bacterium. RNAcentral describes it as "bacterial SSU rRNA". It matches the Rfam family "Bacterial small subunit ribosomal RNA", at positions 336 to 638 of the family's 1533-position model. The record is from RNAcentral.